CAGGUCUUGACAUCCUCUGACAACCCUAGAGAUAGGGCUUUCCCCUUCGGGGGACAGAGUGACAGGUGGUGCAUGGUUGUCAUCAGCACGUGUCGUGAGAUGUUGGGUUAAGUCCCGCAACGAGUGCAACCCUUGAUCUUAGUUGCCAGCAUUCAGUUGGGCACUCUAAGAUGACUGCCGGUGACAAACCGGAGGAAGGUGGGGAUGACGUCAAAUCAUCAUGCCCCUUAUGACCUGGGCUACACACGUGCUACAAUGGACGGUACAAAGGGCAGCGAGACCGCGAGGUUUAGCCAAUCCCAUAAAACCGUUCUCAGUUCGGAUUGCAGGCUGCAACUCGCCUGCAUGAAGCUGGAAUCGCUAGUAAUCGCGGAUCAGCAUGCCGCGGUGAAUACGUUCCC
This 401-nucleotide ribosomal RNA is filed under the name uncultured bacterium. RNAcentral's name for it is "bacterial SSU rRNA". It matches the Rfam family "Bacterial small subunit ribosomal RNA", at positions 975 to 1375 of the family's 1533-position model. The record is from RNAcentral.